RNAcentral lists this ribosomal RNA (923 nucleotides) under Globodera ellingtonae. RNAcentral's name for it is "eukaryotic LSU rRNA". The stretch from base 526 to 679 matches the Rfam family "5.8S ribosomal RNA". Lineage: Eukaryota; Metazoa; Nematoda; Chromadorea; Rhabditida; Heteroderidae. The record is from RNAcentral.
AGUGAACAAUUCACCACCUACCUGCUGUCCAGUUGAGUCAGUGUGGGCAACACCACAUGCCUCCGUUUGUUGUUGACGGACACAUGCCCGCUGUGUAUGGGCUGGCACAUUGACCAACAAUGUACGGACAGCGCCCUGUGGGCACAUGAGUGUUGGGGUGUAACCGAUGUUGGUGGCCCGAUGGGCGAGUCGACAAUUGCUGCUGUUGUCGGGUCGCUGUACCAACGGAGGUGGCACGCCCACAGGGCACCCUAACGGCUGUGCUGGCGUCUGUGCGUCGUUGAGCGGUUGUUGCGCCUUGCGUGGAUAUGCUGACAUGGAUGUAUACUGCGAUUCCAUGUUGUACGUGCCGUACCCAGCGGCAUGUCUGCGCUUGUGUGCUACGUCCGUGGCCGUGAUGAGACGACGUGUUAGGACCCGUGCCUGGCAUUGGCACGUGGUUUAAGACUUGAUGAGUGCCCGCAGGCACCGCCAGCUUUUUCUCAUUUUUAUUUAUUUUUUUGCAAUUCGAUUGCUAAAAUAUUCUAGUCUUAUCGGUGGAUCACUCGGCUCGUGGAUCGAUGAAGAACGCAGCCAACUGCGAUAAUUAGUGUGAACUGCAGAAACCUUGAACACAGAACUUUCGAAUGCACAUUGCGCCAUUGGAGUGACAUCCAUUGGCACGCCUGGUUCAGGGUCGUAACCAAAAAAUGCACUGCAUGUGCGUGUUUUAUUUGCUAAGAUCACGCUUCGGCGUGUUCUUGCAUACCAUUGAAUGCUACGCUGUGUAGCGUUGGACGUGCUGGCGCGAAACUGUGUUGUCUUUCGCGCUUUACAGACCGUAAUUUAGGCACGUCCUUCGUUCACAUGCGAUAGCUGAAUGCCUCGCCAAUAGGCAUUUGCAAUUGAACAUUUCGACCUGAACUCAGACGUGAACACCCGCU